UACGAAGGGGGCUAGCGUUGCUCGGAAUUACUGGGCGUAAAGGGCGCGUAGGCGGCCUGCUAAGUCGGACGUGAAAUCCCUGGGCUCAACCCAGGAACUGCGUCCGAUACUGGUUGGCUUGAAUCCGGGAGAGGGAUGUGGAAUUCCAGGUGUAGCGGUGAAAUGCGUAGAUAUCUGGAGGAACACCGGUGGCGAAGGCGACAUCCUGGACCGGUAUUGACGCUGAGGCGCGAAAGCCAGGGGAGCAAACGGG
RNAcentral lists this ribosomal RNA (253 nucleotides) under uncultured bacterium. RNAcentral describes it as "partial 16S ribosomal RNA". It matches the Rfam family "Bacterial small subunit ribosomal RNA", at positions 524 to 776 of the family's 1533-position model. The record is from RNAcentral.